CCUCUUCUUCUUCAUCUUAAUUUAAACCAAACGUUGACUACUGUUCCUCUUAUUUUCUACACCCCACAAUAAAUCCAUCUUUCUUCCUUGAUUAUUUUUUACUCUGCUCUAUGAUGUGUUCGUUAGCUAUCUCUCUUACGGAUAAUGCCGAAGUGUUUAUUUAUACUCUUAAAUUGAUGUGUGAACUCCACAAUAAAUCCCAUCUUUCUUCCUUUAAUUAUAUUUUACCCUGCUCUAUGAUGUGUUCGUUAGCUAUCUCUCUUACGGAUAAUGCCGAAGUGGUUAUUUAUACUCUUAAAUUGAUGUGUGAAUAUAGAAAACUAUAAUACUGGUGUUCAUAAGAUUAGCAAAACCUUAUACUUCUUCAAUUCCAGUAGCACUUGCGAACUAAUUUUUUCUCAUCUUUUGUUUGUACCAACUGUAAUCCCAUCCGGAUCCUUUAACCAUGAAUCCCAAAUUGUGGUAUUGUUGUAAAUUGAAAUGAUCAGGUGAAUAUAUGCUUUUCCUUGGCAAUAUUUUAAAGACUUUUUCCUGCUCUAUUCAAAUGUGUUGUGCUUGAAGAUCGACAUAUGCAUUAAACUUAUGAUUUUUUCCGUGCUUAUAUCUUCACUCUAUAUUUUAUCAUACAGGAUUCCUACAAUGGAUGCACAGCGAGAUUGUACAAAUAUUUGGCCAGGUAAAUUUUCGUUCUACAUUUAACAAUGUUAUUUCUUUUUUUGGUUUCUUCAAUUAACAUUAUGUUUAUGAUUUUACAGGUUCUGCUAAAGAAUAUGAAGUU
RNAcentral lists this long non-coding RNA (778 nucleotides) under Nicotiana tabacum (common tobacco). Its description in RNAcentral is "long non-coding RNA (NTAB_LNC011842)". Lineage: Eukaryota; Viridiplantae; Streptophyta; Magnoliopsida; Solanales; Solanaceae. The record is from RNAcentral.